RNAcentral lists this ribosomal RNA (501 nucleotides) under Potamon ibericum. Its description in RNAcentral is "partial large subunit ribosomal RNA". It matches the Rfam family "Archaeal large subunit ribosomal RNA", at positions 1904 to 2645 of the family's 2987-position model. Lineage: Eukaryota; Metazoa; Arthropoda; Malacostraca; Decapoda; Potamidae. The record is from RNAcentral.
AACAUGUCUAUUUGAUGAUAUAAAUAGUCUGGCCUGCCCACUGAUUUAGAUAUUAAAGGGCCGCGGUAUUUUAACCGUGCAAAGGUAGCAUAAUCAUUAGGUUUUUAAUUAGAAUCUUGUAUGAAUGGUUCGACAAAAGAAAUACUGUCUUUAUAUUAAAUUUUGAAUUUAACUUUUAAGUGAAAAGGCUUAAAUAUAUUAAAGGGACGAUAAGACCCUAUAAAACUUUACAUUGUAGUUUUAUUUAAUUGAAUUUAUGAAAUAAAGAUUUAAUUUAAUUAUAUGUUAUGUUGGGGAGACAAAGGUAAAAUAAAUUUUAACUGCUUUAUGUUAAAACAUAUAUUUAUGGAUAUAUUAAAAGAUCCUUUAUAAAGAUUAAAAGAUUAAGUUACUUUAGGGAUAACAGCGUUAUUUUUUUUGAGAGUUCCUAUCGAAAAGAGAGUUUGCGACCUCGAUGUUGAAUUAAAAUAUCUUUAUAGUGCAGAAGCUAUAAAAGAAGGU